AGGAAGGCUCUUGGGUCGUAAACCUCUUUUCUCAGGGAAGAACAAAAUGACGGUACCUGAGGAAUAAGCAUCGGCUAACUCCGUGCCAGCAGCCGCGGUAAUACGGAGGAUGCAAGCGUUAUCCGGAAUGAUUGGGCGUAAAGCGUCCGCAGGUGGCGAUGAAAGUCUGCUGUUAAAGAGUCUAGCUCAACUAGAUAAGAGCAGUGGAAACUACAUAGCUAGAGUACGUUCGGGGCAGAGGGAAUUCCUGGUGUAGCGGUGAAAUGCGUAGAGAUCAGGAAGAACACCAGUGGCGAAGGCGCUCUGCUAGGCCGUAACUGACACUGAGGGACGAAAGCUAGGGGAGCGAAUGGGAUUAGAUA
RNAcentral lists this ribosomal RNA (362 nucleotides) under uncultured cyanobacterium. Its description in RNAcentral is "bacterial SSU rRNA". It matches the Rfam family "Bacterial small subunit ribosomal RNA", at positions 408 to 784 of the family's 1533-position model. The record is from RNAcentral. Lineage: Bacteria; Bacillati; Cyanobacteriota.